GCGACAGGAGGGGCUCGGUGCAGGCUAAUCCACGCGCGCGUUGUCCAGGGUCCCUCUACAGCGGUUUCCCUGGGAACCACUCUGGCUGGAAAACCUGCGGGUGCCAUUGGAGGAUGUGAACUCUCCUGGGAUGAUGCACAUUGCAUAUAGCGAGUGCACAGACUAGACCAUCGGAGCUCAUCAGUGAUCAGUAACGAGACCGACCUGAUCCUGAUCAGUAGUCAGGGGUUGUCUGCAGUGGAAGAACAAAGAGAUGCUCUGUACCCACUGAAGACGAAGGCUAUGGGCUGACGAGCCUAGCAUCGGUGGUCAGCCAUUUUGCCGUUAGCACUAUGAAGAGAAGGCCUUUUCCUCAGCUCUAAUGAUCAGCCAGCCUGUUUCUGUCUGCCCCACGCUGUCACCAGACAUCUGCACGUUGUUCGUGUCAGCUUGCCCAGAACUUGCUCACUGCAUUCCAAGAUGGUGGGGGCAAUUGCUCCUUCACUCCGUACGCAGGCUGCUAGGAGCCAACUGGCCUCCACCCCAUCAGUCAUGCCUCCACUCACGAGGCAGCAUCCAGAUCAGACUCUGCCUCAUAAGUUGGAGCAACCAUGGAACUUCCAGUCUGAACCAGUGUAAUUCCAAAACAAAAGAGGGGAACCACAGAUGACAGGUGUUCUUGGUUAGAAAAAAAGAGUAUCCGUGUGUAUAAAUGUAUGGUACUCCAUACAGAAGAAGUCCUGAGAAGCGGUGUGAUAAAAUUUCACUUGCAUGAUAAAGCUAAGGAAACUGCACAAGGAAAGCCCCGUAGAGCAGCGGAGUGUGGAACGUGCUCAGGUGGAAGCUGCCUUAUCAGGACAUCUUACUCCAGGGGGGAUGCUCAAGAUGGACUCCUUGUGCCUUGCAAGAUGCUGCUCUUUUUAACAUUGUCAAAUAACACCUGCUCACUAUGGAAACUUUUUAAAUACAGAGAAACAGUGAAACAAAUUUACCCACAGUCAUCAGCUCACCUUAUUAUUGGCUUUUUUUUUCUGUGCUCCUCUUUCUUGCCCUGCUCCUCUUUCUUGCCGUGCUCCUUUUUCUUGCUGUGCUCCUCUUUCUUGCCAUGCUCCUCUUUCUUGCCGUGCUCCUCUUUUUUGCUGUGCUCCUCUUUCUUGCCAUGCUCCUCUUUUUUGCCGUGCUCCUCUUUUUUGCUGUGUUCCUGUUUUUCGCGGGGUUUGCCAGAACCUCAAACAAGCACCCAGCCUUCUUGUGUAUUUUUCCCCAAAAUAUUACUAUUCAGAUGACCUUUUUUCGACUCAUUUGGGGCGGGGUAUUCGUUUUAGUUUUAUGUUGCUGUUGAGACAAGGUCUCACUGUGUAACCCUGGCUGGCUGGAACUU
Long non-coding RNA from Mus caroli (Ryukyu mouse), 1360 nucleotides. RefSeq lists it as uncharacterized. The record is from RefSeq and is a predicted model, not a curated record. Lineage: Eukaryota; Metazoa; Chordata; Mammalia; Rodentia; Muridae.